AUGGCGACCGGCGCACGGGUGAGUAACACGUAUCCAACCUGCCGAUGACUCGGGGAUAGCCUUUCGAAAGAAAGAUUAAUACCCGAUGGUAUAGUUCUUCCGCAUGGUAGAACUAUUAAAGAAUUUCGGUCAUCGAUGGGGAUGCGUUCCAUUAGCUUGUUGGCGGGGUAACGGCCCACCAAGGCAUCGAUGGAUAGGGGUUCUGAGAGGAAGGUCCCCCACAUUGGAACUGAGACACGGUCCAAACUCCUACGGAAGGCAGCAG
Molecule: ribosomal RNA, 265 nt
Filed under: uncultured bacterium
Lineage: Bacteria
Description: partial 16S ribosomal RNA
Rfam family: Bacterial small subunit ribosomal RNA
Source: RNAcentral